RNAcentral lists this long non-coding RNA (6096 nucleotides) under Equus caballus (horse). RNAcentral's name for it is "lncRNA (ENSECAG00000055896.1)". The record is from RNAcentral. Lineage: Eukaryota; Metazoa; Chordata; Mammalia; Perissodactyla; Equidae.
GUCCAACAUUUCCUUGUGGAUUUUCUGUCUGGAUGAUCUACCCAUUACUGGAAGUGGGAUUAUGUGUCCAUUGUCUGCUGAACACUGAGACAGUCUCUGGGGAUACCAAAAUGAAUAAGAUAGCACCCAAAGGUGCCCACACUCUAGUGAGAGAAAACUACAUUAAAAAUUAUCCUAUGAUGUAAAGUGAUGAAAAUACAAAUGGAAGGUUGGGAAUAAUCCUAUGAAAAGACACAAGAGGAAGCGUCUUGUUCUUCCUGCAGAGGCUGAGUGGGUGAGUGGGAAGUUUCUUGAAUGACAUGCCUUGAAAGAUUGGGUGGGAAUUCACGAAGCGAACUGUAAUGUUGAUGGCAGUGGGGAUGGGGUGGGCUGGUGACAAUUCAUACAGAAGAAACAACAUGAAAGAAGGCAUAGAAGUGUGAAGAUGUAUGGUAUGUUCAGGGAAGAGUAAAACCAGGGCCCACUGAAACCCGGGAACAAUCUGAAAGGCCUAGAAUAUUUCUCAGGUGGGAAGGUUUCUGGUAUUAGAUUUGCAUUUGCUCUGCUUUGAGUUAGAGACAGGGAGGGCUCUUGCCUGGUAGGACAAGGGCUUUGUUAGUGCAUUUGGGGGUCUUGGGGCACAGUAGGGCACUUAAUCUGUCCAGGAGCCUGCUGCCAUGAAACCCGCUCACCUACAUCUGGGAGGCUGAAUUAUCAUCCGCGUUUCUGAUCGAUCCCUUGGAAGUAGGAUCCUAUGAAGAGCCCCAGAGGAUUUUAAAUGGGCCUCAGAUCUCAGGGCUGUUUGUCCAUUUCAUCUGCGCCUUCCUGUGGAGCCCAGCAAUUCUAAUAGUGUGGCUUCUGUGAGCUGUUGCCAACAACUGGAGAAAACAGCUUAUCGUAAGCACAAACAAACAAACAAAUGAAUUUCUUGCUGUGAUUCAUUGUUAAAAGAUAAAUAUAUUUGUAGGAGGGGCCAUUAUUUGUAAAAAGGAAUCCAUUGUGUCGGCUCAAAACCAUGUCAUUGUCCUAUAGCCUGAAUUUUUGCUGUGAAGACUGAAGAAAAUACUUAGCAAAUAAAAGUCACUGUGCCAUGCAGCAAAAUACCUAAUCACGCUUCACAUCUUUUCCCAAACUCAGAGGCACUGAGAGAAAUAAAACAUGCCUCAAGAUGGAGCCCUUGAACCACAAAGUUUUGAAGCAAAGUCAGUGAAUUUGUAAACUUGCCAGGUACAGGCAAACUUGGAGCCACUGGUCAAGGCUGGCUGCAGUUCUGGUGCAGAAAGCAGAAAAUGGGGAGAAACUGUGUUUCCCAGCCUCCAAAGCUUUCACAGCCCAGCCAGGCCUUGAGGGCAGGCUCGUGUGGUAGUUCUCAGACUUCAGCCCCAGCAGCUUCCAGGGUUAAAGGGUUAAAUCAACAGGAUAGAUAAUUUUAUCUGACCUGUUUAAGAUCGAAUCCUGUCUCUGGCCCUUCCUAGCUCUGUGCCCUUAGGCAAGCUUCUUACUCUAAAAAUAGCUAUUCUAGGUUCAUGAGGAUUAGAUGUAUUACAGUGUCUGGUGCUUGUGCUUACCAAUAAAGUGCCUGCUAAUGGUUAUUGUCGGAGCAUCCGUCUAUAAGCGUUCAGGCUGUGCACUGAAGAGGGCAUCAUGUUUAUGGGGGUGUCAUUCACAUUGUAGAUAUAUGAUGAAUGUGGAAGUAGGUAAGCCCAAAGCACCAGGGAAAUGCCCCUCACCUACAUCAACCCACACGUGGGCAGGCGUGAACUAUGUACGAGUUUGCAAAACUGUUCCCUGCCCUGACAGUACCUACUCUCUCUACCCUAUAGGAACCUGAUAAGUUGCCCCUCCUGUUUUGGUGGGGGAGGUGCAGGACACAGGCUGGUAUUAUCAGGGGCUCAAAUGACUCAGGUGAGCAGGUAAGAGUGGGAGUUCCUGGAUAGCAGCUCAGACUAUGCAGUGUCUUUGCCUGAUUCCUCACAGGCCUCUUGUGCUCUAGCCAAUGGUUUAAAAAGGAUCCAUGGAACUGUCACUGGGACAAUUUUCAACUGGGUGACAGUGCACCUCCCAGCAUCUGCCCUCACUCCCUGCUCCCUCUCGCUUCUACAAGUGGGCCAUGGGCCACAUAAAGGAUGGUGUGCCACACUUUUGCUGGCCCAGCUGUGUAGGCUUGUUCAGCUUAGCUAUUACCAAGAGACAUGAAGUCCAUCAUAUUAUCUAUAACACAGACUCUUGUCUGGUGAUAUCCAUACUUAUUAGUUACACUUAGUAGCACUUAUGUACAAUUUUUAAAUAUUGUUAGCCUUCUAUUCUUUCUACUUCUCACCACCUUUCAUUUUUUCCUCCUUUUUUCCAAAUAAUCCUCUUUACCUUUUUCCCUUUCUUGCUAAGAACUCUCAUUCUCUUCCUCAUAAUCUUUGUCUCUUCUCCUCCUAUCUUCUUUUCAUACCUCCUGUCAGUUUCUACCCCAAGCCCAUAUCUCUUUUCUUCUCCACGUUUCUUCUCCUUUAUUUUCUUGUUCAUUUUCUUCUCUUCUCUCCAUGCCUUCCUUCCCAUCCAGCUUUUUCUCUCUUUCAGCUUUAUUCUCUCUUCCAAACCCUCAUAGGUACUCCCUUCAUUUUCCCUUUAUUCAAUCACUCUAUUUCUCCCAGUGGCACUCUAAUUCUCCCAGAGAAUUCUGGGAAAUGGAAGGUCACAGUGGUGGGGGUGCUGGGAGACCAUUUGGUACAAGCCAGGUCCUGCGAAUGUCCAUUUCAGUUUGUAUCUUUAGGACAAAGAAUAAUGGAGUACAGAGAAGUCACCAUCAUGGAUCUAGAUGUAUAGACAACAUGUAAAUUCCAUCUGGAGUUGUACUGUGAAUUUAGAUCUUGCCCAAGUUUAAAUUCAAGUUUCUGGCUCAUUUCCCCUUGAAGUUAUGGUAACAGAGGAGUCAUGGAGUCUCUUUAGGGCUGGCCUAAUGGUCUUGACCUUUGCGAGGGUCAGGGUCUCCUUUGAGAAUCUGCUGGAGCUUUUGGACCCUCUUCUCAGAAAAAUUCACAUGAACUCAAAGUUUUGCUUGCAGUGUUAAGAAAUCCCCUAAAGCCUGUUCAUGGGCUUUCCAGGAGCCCUUUGGCUGGAGGUUGGAAAAUAUAAAUUCAGACUCCACAGGAGACCUUGACUGCUUUUCCAGGUGAUUGGUGUGGUAAGUUACAAGGUUGUGAACUGAGGCAGAAUUUUGCACUUCAACAGCAGAGGUAAAGACUACGGUGGGAAUUUUCUAGAUUGAGGAGAUGGUGGUCAGGUUCUGCCUUCCCUAUGAGUUUCUUGCUCUCCAUGAAGACAAGGAGCCUUCACCUUUCAGAGUUUGUCCUUUCCUGGCCAUUUGGAAACCUGGAUGUUUUAAGUGCGUAAACUUUCAUCUGGGCCUGAGCAGUGGGCAGGAUGAAAUACUCAUCAUGACAUCUGUUGCUUUCUACGGCUUCCUGCUUUAGUCAGCUUCAGAUUAAUAUCUAUUUUUUGGGAGGAGUGGAGUAAAGAGGUCACUUCCUUUGUCCAAACUUUCUGACUCAAGGUGACCUUCUCCACAUGAAAAAUAAAUGUGGGAGGGAAAAAUCCAAUUUAUCCAUUUUGCAAAAUAAUUUAUUCCAGCAAUCUGAACUCUGGAGUACGUUGUAUUUAAUCAAUAUGGCUCCAUGUAUUAUUAUCCUGUAGUUUUAUUUUAGUGGUGGUGCUUAUGUUUUUCUUGUAUCCUUAUUGGAAAUUUAGUGUUUUCCAAUGAAUUAGUUUCCUUCUUCUCUUAGCCUAUUGGGUCCUCCAAGUUUAUAAGCAGAAUCAGAUUUGCAAGAGCAAUUUACUCCUUUCUCUGUUCAACCAGGCAUGUUUUAGAAUGGUUUUUCUUCAGCGAAUUUAAUUAACAGGUAUUACGAGCAAUUUUUGUGGGAAGUCCUGGUUCAAGGGAGAGUGAACUAAAGAGAACAACACAAGACUCUUGCUAUACCUAGGGGGUGUGUGUGUGUGUGUGUGAUGUGUGUGAUGUGCAUGUUUAAGUGGGGGAAUUACUGGGAAGAGGAGAAGGUCACCUGGUCUAGAGACUGGUCCCUAUGCUGGCAGAUAGAGAUCUGAUGUGCCCAGUCAAAAGGGGUUGGGUGAAAGUAAAAAGUACUGGAAAAGUUCAGUUUUACAGCUGGCGAUACCCAGGAUGUUAGAUUGAUGGUUACACCAGUAACUCCCAACUCACUUGUUGGUGGCAGAGAUUUCCUGUGCUUUCUGGCUAGGAAUGCAGCAAGUCUGGGUGAAGGUCUCCAAGGCACAUACUGAGCAUUGCUGAGGAAGGCAGAAGGUGACAGUGGCUAGUGCCAUUAAGAGACUUGCAACAGUGGAGGAGGAGGAACAGGGAAAACUAGUGGGAAAGACCAAAAGACCAAGUGUCACCACUUCUCUUGAAUGUCAAGAAAACUCAAAUCUGCUAGAAACAAAAGUGGAAUAGCAAGACCUCCGUUCUCUUUCCCUCCUCCCAAUCAGUUUCUCUACUGCAUUGUGCCAGGAAACAUGAAACCCCAGCAGGGACUCCAGAUGACAGCUCUCAGCAGGACACCUCGCCAAUCACUCUUAAGAUUGGUACUGACCUUUAGAAUUUUCCCCCACGAACAGUGCCCCCCUCCCCCAACUUCUUUCUGUCAGCAGCAGUACGUAGACCUAGCAGCAGCAAUUUCCACAAGCUUUUUGUAUUAGAAAUGAUAACUAGGGUGAGCAUAUAAUUUAUUGUCCAAACUGGAACAUCUUUUUUAAAUGUAGGCACUGGGAGAGUUUUUAAAGUUUUUAUUUUGAGAUAACUGUAUAUGCACAUGCAGCUGUAUGAAAUAAUACAGAGAGAUCCCUGAUACUGCUUACCCACUUUCCCCCAGUAGUAACAUAUUGCAAAACUGUAGUAGAAUAUCACAACCAGGAAACUGACAUUGUUGCAAUCCACUUACCUUAUUCAGAUUUCACUAGUUUUACAUGCAUUCCUUUGUGUGUGUGCAUCUUGCUCUAUGCAAUUUUAUCACAUGUGUAGAAUACUGUGACCACCACCACAGUCAAAAUACAGAAGAGUUCCAUCACAAAGAUCCCUUGUAUUGCCCUUUUAUAACCACUCUCACCUCCUCCCGGCCCUGCCUCCCCCUGCCCCAACCAGGCCCUGGCAACCACUAAUCUGUUCUCCAUCUCUACAAUUUUGUCAUUUCAAAACUUUUAUAUGAAUGGAAUAAUACAGGAUAUAACCUGUUGGGAUUGUCUUUGGUUUUUUUUUUAACUCAGAAUAAUUUCCUUGAGAUCCAGUCAACUUGUUGCAAGUAUUAGUAGUUGCUUUUUAUACCAUUCCAUGGUAUGGAUACACCACAUUUUGUUUAUCCAUUCAACAGUUGAUGGACAUUGUGUUUUUUCCAGUUUGGGGCUAUUAUGAAUAAAGAUGCUAUGACCAUUUGAGUACAAGUUUUGUGUGGGCAUGAGUCUUUAUUUCUUUGGGAUAAAUGCCCAAGAAUGUACUAUCUAGGUUGUAUAGUAAGCACAAGUUUAGUUUUUAAAGAAACCACCAUACUCUUUUCCAGAGUGGCUGUAUCAGUUUACUUUCCCACUAGCAAUGUAUGAGUGAGCCAUCUCCUCUGCAUCAUUGCCAAAAUUUGAUGUUAUCACUAUUUUUUAUUUUAACCAUUCUAAUAAAUGUGUAGUGAUAUGCUGCAUAAUCCUGCUCACAGCAACAAUUGUUUUGUGAUUGUUCCAUGGAAAGCGGGAUCAACCUCCCACCCAAAUUUGGUUCAAAUGUUGAGACUGUUGACACCAAACACACACAGUAAGAGGGUAUGAAAAGAGGGAAUUAUUCACAUAACGGGACUUUUUUGGGGGGAAGCAAGUCAGGCACCCAAGCCAGUCUGUGAUGGCUUGAGUGAAGGGAGGGGCAAGCGGCUUUGGAUUUUACUAUGAUUAGGGAGUGGGGCCGGGAUGAGGAUUCCCAUGUGUGGGCAUGGAUUUUCAUGGUUUGACCUUCCCUGGAGGUGCCAAGGAGGGAGUACCCAGGCUUUCUUAUCAGCUUGCCCAGAUAGAGGGCAAAAGGGGAAGAAGGAGAGGUGGAACCUGGAUUUAGACACUUCAUUGUAAAUUGUUUUUGCA